RNAcentral lists this ribosomal RNA (1254 nucleotides) under Triticum aestivum (bread wheat). RNAcentral describes it as "partial small subunit ribosomal RNA". The record is from RNAcentral. Lineage: Eukaryota; Viridiplantae; Streptophyta; Magnoliopsida; Poales; Poaceae.
AUGGCGGCUGCGGUGUUCGCGGGGGAGGGGGCCGCCGCGCGCGGGGGGUGCUCGGCGGAAUGCGCCGGCGGGAUCGAGAGGCCGCCGGAUCUCGGGAGCAGGGCGCGCGCCGCCGGGGACGGGUGCGGCAAGCGGAGCGUGUACCUCAUGGAGUGCGUGCCGCUGUGGGGCUGCGCCGCGGCACGCGGCCGCGCCGCGGAGAUGGAGGACGCGUGCGCCGCCGUGCCGCGCUUCGCCGCCGUGCCGGCGCGGAUGCUCGCGAGCAGCCGCGAGCUGGACGGGAUCGGGGGCGACUUCGACGCCGCCGAGCUCCGGCUUCCGGCGCACCUGUUCGGCGUCUACGAUGGACACGGCGGCUCGGAGGUGAGGUUAUCUUCUUCUCCUGUGACUCCUGGCCCAGACGAAACACAUCAAGCCUCGAGGCCCUCUCGCUCAUGCUUCAUCAUGCCCGUGCAGGUCGCAAACUACUGCCGGGAUAAGAUCCACGUCGUGUUAAGAGAGGUGCUGAAAGCUGGCAGGUGGUUGGAGGAAUUGGGGGAAGUAGGGGAGCUCGACGUGAAAGAACCAUGGGAGAAGGUUUUCGGUGAUUGUUUCCAGAAGGUAGACGACGAGGUGUCGGGGAAAGCGAGCAGGUUUUCCAAUGGCACCAGGGAGAUCCGUCCUGAGCCUAUUGCCGCUGAUAACGUGGGUUCCACCGCCGUUGUUGCCAUUGUCUGCUCUUCUCAUGUCAUAACUGCGAAUUGUGGAGAUUCACGCGUGGUGCUCUGCCGUGGAAAGGAGCCCAUUGCUCUGUCCGUCGAUCACAAACCUGAUAGGAAAGAUGAGCGUGCCAGGAUUGAGGCCGCAGGUGGAAAGGUCAUUGACUGGAAUGGUUAUCGUGUCUCUGGUAUUCUGGCAAUGUCACGGUCAAUCGGUGACCGAUACCUGAAACCAUUUCUGAUUCCAAAGCCAGAAGUCAGCAUUGUUGCUCGGGCAAAAGAUGACGACUGCCUCAUUCUAGCAAGCGAUGGUCUCUGGGAUGUCAUGUCAAAUGAGGACGCAUGCAAAGUUGCCCGGCGACAGAUCCUUCUGUGGUACAAGAAUAAUAACGACGGUGCGAAUUCCGAUGGAGGCAGCGAACCCACUAUGAACCCAGCUGCAAAAGCAGCCGCUGAUUGUCUCGUGAGGCUAGCGCUGUCGAAAGGGAGCGGGGACAACAUUAGUGUCAUUGUUAUUGACCUGAAAUCAAGAAAGAAGACCAAGGGCAAAACCUAA